Molecule: ribosomal RNA, 1212 nt
Filed under: Staphylococcus aureus
Lineage: Bacteria; Bacillati; Bacillota; Bacilli; Caryophanales; Staphylococcaceae
Description: partial 23S ribosomal RNA
Rfam family: Bacterial large subunit ribosomal RNA
Source: RNAcentral
UCCACCGAUUGACUAAGGUUUCCAGAGGAAGGCUCGUCCGCUCUGGGUUAGUCGGGUCCUAAGCUGAGGCCGACAGGCGUAGGCGAUGGAUAACAGGUUGAUAUUCCUGUACCACCUAUAAUCGUUUUAAUCGAUGGGGGGACGCAGUAGGAUAGGCGAAGCGUGCGAUUGGAUUGCACGUCUAAGCAGUAAGGCUGAGUAUUAGGCAAAUCCGGUACUCGUUAAGGCUGAGCUGUGAUGGGGAGAAGACAUUGUGUCUUCGAGUCGUUGAUUUCACACUGCCGAGAAAAGCCUCUAGAUAGAAAAUAGGUGCCCGUACCGCAAACCGACACAGGUAGUCAAGAUGAGAAUUCUAAGGUGAGCGAGCGAACUCUCGUUAAGGAACUCGGCAAAAUGACCCCGUAACUUCGGGAGAAGGGGUGCUCUUUAGGGUUAACGCCCAGAAGAGCCGCAGUGAAUAGGCCCAAGCGACUGUUUAUCAAAAACACAGGUCUCUGCUAAACCGUAAGGUGAUGUAUAGGGGCUGACGCCUGCCCGGUGCUGGAAGGUUAAGAGGAGUGGUUAGCUUCUGCGAAGCUACGAAUCGAAGCCCCAGUAAACGGCGGCCGUAACUAUAACGGUCCUAAGGUAGCGAAAUUCCUUGUCGGGUAAGUUCCGACCCGCACGAAAGGCGUAACGAUUUGGGCACUGUCUCAACGAGAGACUCGGUGAAAUCAUAGUACCUGUGAAGAUGCAGGUUACCCGCGACAGGACGGAAAGACCCCGUGGAGCUUUACUGUAGCCUGAUAUUGAAAUUCGGCACAGCUUGUACAGGAUAGGUAGGAGCCUUUGAAACGUGAGCGCUAGCUUACGUGGAGGCGCUGGUGGGAUACUACCCUAGCUGUGUUGGCUUUCUAACCCGCACCACUUAUCGUGGUGGGAGACAGUGUCAGGCGGGCAGUUUGACUGGGGCGGUCGCCUCCUAAAAGGUAACGGAGGCGCUCAAAGGUUCCCUCAGAAUGGUUGGAAAUCAUUCAUAGAGUGUAAAGGCAUAAGGGAGCUUGACUGCGAGACCUACAAGUCGAGCAGGGUCGAAAGACGGACUUAGUGAUCCGGUGGUUCCGCAUGGAAGGGCCAUCGCUCAACGGAUAAAAGCUACCCCGGGGAUAACAGGCUUAUCUCCCCCAAGAGUUCACAUCGACGGGGAGGUUUGGCACCUCGAUGUCGGCUCAU